CUCUGGCUGGCUUUGGGAUUCUCUGUUCCUCUGAUAUUUGUCUCUGCAGCUUCCUCGUGUGCCCUGAAGGAAAGGGAACGAAGAUGUACAAAACUCUGGCACUGAGUUAUGUAGUCGCUAUCUACUUAGCAAGCAGUCACGUACCUCUCCUAUGUCUUACCUGUGCCAAGGUAGAUCCAGAUGGUAAAUGUGUAAAUAAACCAGGCAGUUGUAUCACCAAAAAGAAUGAGCUCUGCUACAACCGGAUGGUCAGCUGGAAUUAUGAAGUUCUGUUUGUGGACAGGGGCUGCACUUCCAAUUGUAGACGAGUACAAGAAAACUCACACUAUAGGAACUUUACCUUCUGCUGCCGCA
Zootoca vivipara (common lizard) is the source of this 354-nucleotide long non-coding RNA. RefSeq lists it as uncharacterized. NCBI's taxonomy places the organism in Eukaryota, Metazoa, Chordata, Lepidosauria, Squamata, Lacertidae. The record is from RefSeq and is a predicted model, not a curated record.